AUACGUAGGUGACAAGCGUUAUCCGGAUUUACUGGGCGUAAAGGGCGUGUAGGCGGUCUUGCAAGUCAGAAGUGAAAUUCCUGAGCUCAACUCGGGCGCUGCUUCUGAAACUGCAGGACUUGAGUGCUGGAGGGGAUAGCGGAAUUCCUAGUGGAGCGGUAAAAUGCGCAGAUAUUAGGAAGAACACCGGUGGAGAAGGCGGCAAUGUGGACAGUAACUGACGCUGAGGCGCGAAAGCGUGGGGAGCAAACAGGAUUAGAUACCCUGGUAGGCCACGCCGUAAACGAUGAAUACUAGGUGUAGGGGGUAUCGACUCCCUCUGUGCCGCAGUUAACACAAUAAGUAUUCCGCCUGGGGAGUACGGCCGCAAGGUUGAAACUCAAAUGAAUUGACGGGG
This 397-nucleotide ribosomal RNA is filed under the name uncultured bacterium. RNAcentral describes it as "partial 16S ribosomal RNA". It matches the Rfam family "Bacterial small subunit ribosomal RNA", at positions 523 to 918 of the family's 1533-position model. The record is from RNAcentral.